CCUACGGGUGGCAGCAGUGGGGGAUAUUGGACAAUGGGGGAAACCCUGAUCCAGCGACGCCGCGUGAGUGAAGAAGUAUUUCGGUAUGUAAAGCUCUAUCAGCAGGGAAGAAAGAAAUGACGGUACCUGAGUAAGAAGCCCCGGCUAACUCCGUGCCAGCAGCCGCGGUAAUACGGAGGAUGCGAGCGUUAUCCGGAUUUAUUGGGUAUAAAGGGUGCGUAGGCGGGUUAUCAAGUCAGCGGUAAAAUCGUGGAGCUCAACUCCAUCCAGCCGUUGAAACUGAUGAUCUUGAGUGGGCGAGAAGUAUGCGGAAUGCGGGGUGUAGCGGUGAAAUGCAUAGAUAUCACGCAGAACUCCGAUUGCGAAGGCAGCAUACCGGCGCCCGACUGACGCUGAAGCACGAAAGCGUGGGUAUCGAACAGGAUUAGAUACCCCUGUGUC
Molecule: ribosomal RNA, 441 nt
Filed under: uncultured bacterium
Lineage: Bacteria
Description: partial 16S ribosomal RNA
Rfam family: Bacterial small subunit ribosomal RNA
Source: RNAcentral